This 228-nucleotide ribosomal RNA is filed under the name uncultured bacterium. Its description in RNAcentral is "partial 16S ribosomal RNA". It matches the Rfam family "Bacterial small subunit ribosomal RNA", at positions 103 to 334 of the family's 1533-position model. The record is from RNAcentral.
CGGGUGAGUAAUGUCUGGGGAACUGCCUGAUGGAGGGGGAUAACUACUGGAAACGGUAGCUAAUACCGCAUAACGUCGCAAGACCAAAGAGGGGGACCUUCAGGCCUCUUGCCAUCGGAUGUGCCCAGAUGGGAUUAGCUAGUAGGUGGGGUAACGGCUCACCUAGGCGACGAUCCCUAGCUGGUCUGAGAGGAUGACCAGCCACACUGGAACUGAGACACGGUCCAG